CCUACGGGAGGCUGCAGUGGGGAAUAUUGGACAAUGGGGGCAACCCUGAUCCAGCCAUGCCGCGUGUGUGAAGAAGGCCCUCGGGUUGUGAAGCACUUUCAGUGAGGAAGAACGCCUGGUGGUUAAUACCCAUCAGGAAAGACAUCACUCACAGAAGAAGCACCGGCUAACUCCGUGCCAGCAGCCGCGGUAAUACGGAGGGUGCGAGCGUUAAUCGGAAUUACUGGGCGUAAAGCGCGCGUAGGUGGCUUGAUAAGCCGGUUGUGAAAGCCCCGGGCUCAACCUGGGAACGGCAUCCGGAACUGUCCAGCUAGAGUGCAGGAGAGGAAGGUAGAAUUCCCGGUGUAGCGGUGAAAUGCGUAGAGAUCGGGAGGAAUACCAGUGGCGAAGGCGGCCUUCUGGACUGACACUGACACUGAGGUGCGAAAGCGUGGGUAGCAAACAGGAUUAGAUACCCUAGUAGUC
This 465-nucleotide ribosomal RNA is filed under the name Vreelandella stevensii. Its description in RNAcentral is "partial 16S ribosomal RNA". It matches the Rfam family "Bacterial small subunit ribosomal RNA", at positions 338 to 795 of the family's 1533-position model. Lineage: Bacteria; Pseudomonadati; Pseudomonadota; Gammaproteobacteria; Oceanospirillales; Halomonadaceae. The record is from RNAcentral.